UACUUCCUCUUGGAAAUAAGUAAAAGUACAAUAAAAGAAUUCUAACAAUUAUCGUUCUGGAGCAACUUAUCGCUGCCAUAACGUUGAUCGAACAAAGCUAGGACAGAUAUAGCAGUCACCGUCAUCCUCGCAGACCAUUCAUAGUCUUGAAUGACCAAUUUCGAGAUGAGCUAUAUAUUCAGAGCGCGUUUGCUCGCCUCGAAGGGCUUGCGUCGUGUUUCACUGACGUUCGUUCUAGCCUUGUUAGCGGUUCAACAAUGUAAAUCAAUCGGAAAAUAAGGCAAUUUACUCUGGCGCAAGGAAUUAAUAACCAAUUAGACGCGGUCUUAAGGCCGCGAGCGGUGUUCAACGAUUUCCAGAGAGUCGACCGACAUGUUAAAUUACGCUUUUUUCUGCUUGUAUAAGCAUUACUGACGGCUACUAAUUACGUGAAGUCUACGCGAUGAAAAAGUGAAAGAGAAAGAGGAAGAAAGAGAAAAGCGGAUCGAGCAAAAUCUUCGUUGAUGCCGUUUACACGCGGCGGAUCGCGUACCACUGCGUGCUCGGAAGUCACCGUGCAUCGUGACUUCUUAUCCGGGAUCUCAGACGAUGGUAACUGUUCAUUUGUCGACGAACAGACCGCACGACAGGGAACGUGGCCGACAAUCCAUCGACCUAGUCGCAAGAACGGCGAUAGUAACGACUUCCGGUACGUGAAAGGCAACUCUAUGGCGACUGUCUUAUGGAUAUUUUUCGAAGCAUCCCUCUUUGUGAUGCGGAUCGAUCGUUUCGUGUAGGAUGUAUAAGUUCAUGUGAUUGGGUAAAAGGAGACUCUGAUGCGAAUUUCGAGAGUGAAUUUCAGACUUGGAUACGCUUAUCGUAAGGCAAACCCUUUAUACAUACCAUUGUUUGAAUGAAAAGUCGUAUGGAAUGGUAAAAUUAACAAAUAUGUGUAUGUAUAAUAAA
Molecule: long non-coding RNA, 945 nt
Organism: Bombus impatiens (common eastern bumble bee)
Lineage: Eukaryota; Metazoa; Arthropoda; Insecta; Hymenoptera; Apidae
Exons: 2
Source: RefSeq, a predicted model, not a curated record